This is a long non-coding RNA of Macrobrachium nipponense, 3742 nucleotides long. RefSeq lists it as uncharacterized. The transcript has 2 exons. NCBI's taxonomy places the organism in Eukaryota, Metazoa, Arthropoda, Malacostraca, Decapoda, Palaemonidae. The record is from RefSeq and is a predicted model, not a curated record.
GCUGCACUCAGGCCCCAGUCAAACAGCCGGGUUGUCCCAAAUGACAGUGUAGACCCUGAGACUGACAGCAUGGGAGCUGCCAUCUUGUAAACAGGCCUUGCUUCAGAGGUCAACUAUAGCACAUCUUAGGGUCUUCAUGUCAAAACUUUGCCGAGCUCCCCAUUUUAUAAAGCACCAGCUCCUUUGUUCUGCUGUGACCCACGUCGCCUAUGCUGACCCAAAUAGAGGUCGCUUGGAAAAUGUUGAUGCCAGCUGAGGGCUGUGAUUCAUGCCCCAACAGAGGAUGACUCGGCAACAGUGGACCAAAACACCCCACAAACUAUAAUUGGAAUCCAAUUUGCUUUGAGUGCUAGGAAGCCUGCAAUGUAUUAAAAAGAAAAAAAGACAUCGCUGUAGUCAUCAAAUUGCUUCAAACGGUGGAGGUCUCAACAAAGCUAAUUUGAUACUAGAAGUCUCUACGUUCAUUGUGAGCUCAGCAGCAUUGAAAUUGGAAUUGUGCCUCGUGAGAGGCUACUUUAUUGGACACCCUCCCAUCCUGUGAAAGGCGUAGCAUCACUCAGCUGCAUCAGUAAAAGACAGGUGGUGAACCCCUCGUUCAGAAUUGCCUUCGUCCAGCCCGGCACCAGCCUAUCUUACCUCUGGCUCUUAUAACGUAUGCAGAAUGGAGAUACCUUGUUCCGAACUCGUAACGUCCAGAUGCAAGACCAACGAGAGACAAGGCCUGUUCGAUGUUUUGUGACGUAAGCAAGGGUGGUCCGAGCCAAAGACUAUAUGUCCGAGCUGUUUCGAUGUUUUGUGACGUAAGCAAGGGUGGUCCGAGCCAAAGACUAUAUGUCCGAGCUGUUCGCAUUGACUACGGUGCCAGACGAAAGAAAUAUAAACAAACCCUCGCCAAAAUCUAUCAUUUUUGGUCUGCCAGUUAUUAGUUUGCUUAUUUUCUCGUCUACACUAAUUAGUGUACGCCAAAUAAUACUUACUCAAAACACAAGUUAUAAGAUUAAUACAAAAUGCUGAACCACAACAAUUUAUUUAGUUACACUUACAUCACAAAAAAAGUUCUUUCUACUAUAUGUGAAUGAAAUAAAUCUCUCUUACAUAAAGUCAUUAUUUGGUAUUUAAAUUUUCUAACUUUCUCUUUGGCUACAAUAGUUACUUUCUUGAACAAAAAUUAUUCAAUGAAACGUUAGUAGGAACCCAUAUUGUUUUUUUUUUUUUUGGUACUAUAACCUUCAUUACUUAUUGAGCAGCUUAUCUAUUAUUUACAUUUUGACAUUUAAACGUUUAAAUUCAUGAUUGUCGACCAAAUGUAAAAUUUUGACAUUUCCAUCCUGAAUAAAAAGGGAGUGAUUUUUUUUACAAUAGUUAGUAAAGCUUGAACGAUAUAUUCAUUGAUUAUUUGUAAAACUAAAUGAACAUUUUGUUUCUCAAAGGUGUAGGGAGAUAAUGCUUUUAAUGAUAGUUUAUAUGAAUGUUCAUUGAGUAAACAUCUAUAUCAUGAAGUUUUUCAAAGGACUGAAUGUGCACAAUGAAUUUCCUUUUCCAAAUUGACAUCAAAGGAGAACUGAUGUAUAACUUUAUUGUUUUAUUCAUAACUUUCUGGCCAAGCCAAUUAUUCCUGAUAUAUUUUAACAAUUUUUACUGAAACAUACAUGGAAAAGGGCAUUUGUUACUCUGAAACGGGUGAGGAUACACUACAGACUGGUGUGGAAUGCUAGGAAAAUACGACAUUGCUUUCCCAACGAUAGCAUUAUGAUGUUACAAUGCAAAACAGUGUAAAACUGAUUUUUUCUAAGCCUAUAAUUACUAUCUUCAGUGUGCAGUGCAGAACAUCAGCUUUUAUGCUUUAAUUGGGAAUUUGUGCAACUUACUUGAAUUUACACUUACCUGUUCAACAUAAAGUAAAAUGCACCUGUUGCAGCUUCACUAUAGCCAAAGGUUGAACCAACAAUAUUUUUGCCUUUAUAAUGAAAAUAUGGUAUUAAGUACGUGAGUUUCAUCCACCAUCAGUAUCACUAUUUGUCAUUGGGUAGUAAUGAUUUACAUUUACUUUUAGUGUUCAAAAGAAAAUUUGAGUCCUUUUGUUAUGAUGCUGGGCAGACCUGUUUGAAAAAACUCGCUCCUGAUGGUACAGUAACUUUGAGGGGAACAACUAUAGGUAUAACAAAAACACAAUAUUACCAGCUCUGAUGAAUAAUCAAAUUUAUUCAGUCAUUAACUGCAGCUAAAAUUGCCAAAAGUGAAAUAACUAGUUUUAUAACUGCAAUGCAAUAUAUAUUGCAGUGUUAGAAAUACAUUUAUCAGUAUCAGCUCUCUGGAGUUACUGAAUAUCUGCUUAAUGAUAUUUGUAUCAUGAACCUCUGUUUGAAUCUUGAGAUCUCUUAAGUGACUACUUCAGUGACAUGAAAAAUGUGUGCGCUGUACAGUUAGGCUCAACUGUAGGUAGGGCAUUGUGGCAUAAGUAUGGUAUUUCCUUAAUCUGUACUGAAGUUUUACCUGUGGAAGAAGAAAGGUGGUCUUUUAAUGUUUUUACGUGUAUAUAUGAGCACUGAAACCUAGUAAUGUAAUGAGAUUAGGUUUGGUUAGGUUAGUGAAAUUUCUACUGUAGGCUCCUAUUUUGAACCUGUAACCCUUAGAAUACUAUGCCAGUCUACUUUUUUUCACCUUAACCCAUCUAAGCCCAAUAGGUUUGUACCAUGCCUUUGACUGUUGUCAAUGGAAACUUGCCUAUUUCCCCACCACUAUACUGUACUUAAGUUGUGAUGAACCUAUAACUUAUGUCUGUGCUAAUGUAACUCUUGAGUAACUUGUCUGAAGGUUCUGUCACAAAGUUAGGUAUUAUGUUUGCAACCUUCUUACCUGACACAGGCCCUUGCCACAAUCAUUGCAAUAAUGCUCGUUACCACAUAUAGGCUACAGCAUGCUUUAAAUUUCUUCUGGGGUUUCUAUGCACUUCCAGUACUUAAGUUUACCCUUCCUAGGUUAACUUGUUUGAUGUGUUUGCCCUUUCUUUGCUUGUUGGUAAAUUUCUAUAUGCUGCUUGCCUUGCCUGACUACUGCUACCAUUAUUAGUCUUGCCUUUUAUGACAUUUAGAUUUUUUUUUCCAAAGCUUUAUAUAGGUAAGUCCUGAACAGGGAGUUCACAGGCUACACUGGGAAUUUUGACUUAGGCUAGACUUGAAUUCCUACUAAAAUUCAAUGUAGGCUAAACCAGUCUUUCUUUAUAUUGCACCUGACCUUGUUGCUCACAACUUCUACCUAGAAUGCAGACUGUAUUUUAUUGCAGUCGAAAGUCAUCCAGAGAGAAAAGUCAAAUAGGUAGGUAGUACCUGUUGCUGUGAACUUCUUGCCAGUUUAUCUGCUUACCACAGUAAGUUCGUCCAAAAAAGUACACAAGACGUAUCCAUGGCUCGCUACCUCAUGAUGCCACAUAAGUUUUAUGUUCCAGUUCAUAAAUAAAACAAUGGAACCACGAAAACACAUCGUGUCCAACUUCCAAGUGAUAUAAGGGAAGGAAGAUCGAGAGUCGGGAGUGCGUCGUGCGACUGAGUCGUCUAGUCAAUUGCCUCACAGAGUCGGACCACCGUCCACAUCGAAGUUCAAACACGCCUUCUAUAUCGGUGGUCUUGCCAGAAGGCGGCAAAAAAGUAAAAACGUAAUUCCUUCUUAAGCUGAGAUCUGCAGUGAUACUUUGCCUUGUAACAUAGGUCAUAUACCAACCUUAUAUCGUCACAAAAUCCCGAAA